GUAGGUGGCAAGAGUUGUCCGGAAUUAUUGGGCGUAAAGCGCGCGCAGGUGGUUCUUUAAGUCUGAUGUGAAAGCCCCCGGGCUCAACCGGGGAGGGUCAUUGGAAACUGGGGAACUUGAGUGCAGGAGAGGAAAGUGGAAUUCCACGUGUAGCGGUGAAAUGCGUAGAUAUGUGGAGGAACACCAGUGGCGAAGGCGACUUUCUGGCCUGUAACUGACACUGAGGCGCGAAAGCGUGGGGAGCAAACAGGAUUAGAUACCCUGGUAGUCCACGCCGUAAACGAUGAGUGCUAAGUGUUGGGGGGUUUCCGCCCCUCAGUGCUGCAGCUAACGCAUUAAGCACUCCGCCUGGGGAGUACGGUCGCAAAGACUG
This 373-nucleotide ribosomal RNA is filed under the name uncultured organism. RNAcentral describes it as "partial 16S ribosomal RNA". It matches the Rfam family "Bacterial small subunit ribosomal RNA", at positions 527 to 896 of the family's 1533-position model. The record is from RNAcentral.